CUUUCAGUCCACAUUUAAAACAUUCUUCCGCACUUUGCUCUCGUUCAUUUGCGAAGGGAUGGAGGCGCCGCAGCUUCACUGUCAAGGCAGGUGUGUGGAUCUGACAUCUUGUAACACCGGGUUCUACAUUAAAUCAGGUGUGAGAGGAAUGUUAAUGUAUGAGUGUGUUGCCUCAGUCGUCCACAGCGAUGUUGCGGAACAGAUAGGCCAUGGACUCCCCGUUGUGGAUGCGCCGGAUGGCCUCGGCAAGGAUCAUACUGACAUCCACCGUUUUGAUUUUUGGACACUGCAGCUUCUGAACCUCAUGAGGAACAGUGUUGGUCACCACCACCUAGAGGCGCAACACAACGGUGUUAGGCAAAGCUCCUUAGCUUUCUGAAUUUCUAUAAAUCUGUUACUCUAAAUAUGGUGGAGUGGAGUGAGGAGGAACAUACGAAUAACUGUAAAAAAAACAAAACAGGAUCGCAAACAGCUUAAGUUGCUGUGUGUUAUCAGGAAAUAAAAGUGUGUAAUGUGCAAUGUUUGUUUUAUUUAUUUUUUUAGGUAUUGCAUCCUUCCUCCCGAGGCAUUAAUCAAUGCACAAGAUGAAAAUGACUGGGACUAUUCUUUGUUUCAGAGAUGACAGAAAGACAGCCCAAGUCAAUAUGCAUGUGCAUGUACUGUGGCUAGAAGAGAUUAUAUUAGAAGUUUCUGCUGGUACUGUUCUUAGCCUCUCAUUUCCCGAUUUUUUUUUCCAAUUAAUUGAUUAGACUAGUUUAAUUAAAGCACUUCCCAAUAAGCUUUAAUCAUUUCAACAUACUGUAUAAAUAAACAAUCUUUUCAAUGUAUUUUUGAAUGUCAACUUAACAGAAGACAAAUCAUUUUGCCGCCCACACUUGAUUUUACCUCGUCGAUCGCAGACUCCUCUAUCAGUCGUGGUGCCUCUGCAGACAGCAGGCCAUGUGUAGCCAUGAUGUAGAUCUUAUAGGCUCCCCGCUCCUUCAGGAUUUCUGCUGCUGCUACAAAGUCCUCCACAUCAUCUAUAAUGUCAUCCUGAGAAAGUGAAUACAGAACAUAUUUGGAUGUCGGGAAAAACUUUUUCUAGACAUUUAGCGAUCUACUUUUUAGUUAACAUCAUGGUGUGAACAAUGUUGAAACAUUGAUUAUUUAUGAUAAGUUUUUUUAAUACCCGUCACUUGGGAAGUGGAAUGAAUAAACCUGUACAAUAACCAACAAAAUGGCCACAUGAAAGAAGCUGUCAAAUAUUCUUCCCAAAUAAGUUAAAGGCACCCUGUGUAGUUUUCUUGUGAACAUACAAAAGUUAUGUAAACAUUUAGUGCUUACAAAUAUGCAUGUUUGUAUUUCCUUUCUUUAAAAAAAAAAAGAGAGCGAGAGACCAGAUCUGAAUCUUUUCAAUACAACUGUUUUCUGGGAUCCUAUGGUUUAGUGCAGGAGGUGGAUUUCUCGCUUGUUUAAAGAAAAAUCUGUCUGAGGUCUUACAAUAAUGAUGGCGAUUCUUCCUCCUACAUCUCCAACAACGGUGAUGGGCGGCUUCUCCUUCGCCAUCAUCACUGAAAGACACAGACGGAGGAACAACAUUUCAGGACAGGAAGUGAGAUCUAUCCUGCAACCCUCAAUCAGGAGCCCAUUCUUGAGGGGAGACGAACCAAAAUCACCUCAACCAAGCAGAUGAGCGACUGAGGGAUUCCAAAGAUUAUCAGGGGCACAUCAGGGAAAAUUUUCAUCUCAUGGCCCCACUGUGCUUCGGUGUAUCACAAGUUCCUGAUAUAAAAAAAAAAACCUGAUAUGUAUUCUCUGUUUCCCUGAUCAGAAAACAAGCAUAGAGAGACAGUCAGGCAGUGUUGGCCAUUGAAAGAGACUGAUAGGCCUUAAAAGCAAAGUCGGCUGAGCCCGCAUUCUCAUAUGUACGGUGGUCAAACCUGAAACAAUGUUCAAAGUUUUCAUUUCCUUUUCACAAAAAAUUCCAUGCCACUUGCAUUUCUGCUAUUGAAUAGGAGGUGUUGGCCAAGAGAACACCUGGAACAAGUCCCAAAUAUUUAAUUCAAAGCCUCAGCAGUAAGCUGGGCGUGUGAAAUAACUUAUAUCAAUAAGGAUUCAAUCAAUAUUCAACGCAGCUUUUAUUUAGCUCCAGGAAGAGGCCAAAAAUAAAAUGCAUAUGGACAAGACUUGCAAUUGCACACAUACAAACUAUUAAGAUUCUGAGUGGCACGGAGCAACGAUUUUACUUUUACUGAACUACAUAUGUGACUGAAAUGCAAAUUAAAUGUGAUGUUGAAGUCAGUAAUUUGUGCCAUUGCUAUUUUUCUUAAAAAAUGCUACGGUGAAAUCAAAAAGGCCAAUCAACCCGCAGGAACAACAACAAAAAAAACACCAUUCACGGUCAGGGAUGUAUGGAUGGAUGGACUGAUAGAUAAACAGAUGUACUUUAUUGAUACCAAACUGGGAAAUUCCUAAAAUAAAUGCCUCGUCUGGUGCUUUGGGGGCGGACAACUUUCUCUCGUUGCAUUUCUCUUUGCGAAUCAAUUAUUUAAGUGUUUUUGUUUUGCAUGUUUCUUUUCCCCAGGGCGGCAUACAAAUAAAAACACAUCUUAUAGGAC
Scophthalmus maximus (turbot) is the source of this 2597-nucleotide long non-coding RNA. RefSeq lists it as uncharacterized. The transcript is spliced from 3 exons. NCBI's taxonomy places the organism in Eukaryota, Metazoa, Chordata, Actinopteri, Pleuronectiformes, Scophthalmidae. The record is from RefSeq and is a predicted model, not a curated record.